RNAcentral lists this long non-coding RNA (781 nucleotides) under Homo sapiens (human). RNAcentral's name for it is "HSALNT0137479". Lineage: Eukaryota; Metazoa; Chordata; Mammalia; Primates; Hominidae. The record is from RNAcentral.
CCUUUAUACCUUACAACAUCCCAUGGCUUCAUCUGGUUUGUGGUUGUGGUUUUGACCAAACCAUGCUCUUGGUUUUCUUGCCAACUUUAUUAAAAAUAAGCCUCUUCCAGAAGGUAUUAUCUCCUUCACUCCAUUGUUUCUCUUCUGGGUAUGGCUUUAGUAUUCACGGAUUUAGUUUGUAAAAAUACAUACCAUUUAACACUUUUCUUGGUUCUGAUACCUCUUGGUUCAAGAUGGUGGCCUGAGAACAUUUAUAUGCCUCCUGGCUCUUAAAAAAUAUCACUAGAAUGAAAAUAAAUGUAUACAAAAGUGAAUAAACCCAUAAUAGCAAGAUAAUAGGAGUAAGGGCCAACAGUGAACUAAGGCUAUUAAUACAAUUCUGGCAGACAAAAAGCAGAUGUGUGUGGUGACAAGGGAGACAAAGCAGAAAUAACUACAAGCCAGAAUAACAGAGACUCUGUUUAAAAAGCCAUAUCUGGGGCAAUUUUCUGGGGGCUCCAGGAAGAGGCGCCGCAUAGCGUCAGCAAGGACUCAAAAGGAGCACUUCCCAGUGAAGCAAAAGAGUGGCGUAAUAAUUGGAGAACCCUCACGACGUGUCAGCCCCACCACGGCCCCAUAAAUGUAGCAUGAGUGCGAGCUUGAAAUUUGUAACAUGAGAUGAAAACUGGAGAAGCAUCCCUAAAAUAUAUGAACCAAUCUGCCUAGAAAUAGCUAGGAAUCUGCCACCAGAAAGAUGAAUAAAAUAAAAGAUUGAAGAAGUAGCAAGUAGCAGUAUGGAAGA